UUUAUUCUAUUUUUGCUGCAGAGAAUGUCAUUGCUGCAUUUGGAUUUACUGCCACUGGAAUAGCGGUUGGUUCUUGUGCUGACAAAUUAAAGUCAAUUGUCGCUUUUUUCAAUGGAGGAACAAUAUCACCUGAAAGUGUCAUCAUCACAUUUGAGGAUAUUGGCAUUGAAGGAUUUGCUCUCUCAACCAAGUUAAUGCUGGGAGUCAUUGGUGUCCUUUUGUGUACCAUCCUCUUCAUGAGACUGAGAAUUUUAUGAAUUCAGAAGACAUUGUUACAGAUAACUGAAGAAAUAAGGUGCCAUUUAUAUCUACUAGGUGUGUGAAAAUACAUGAAACGGUGUGCAUGAAACCUUGUAUGUCUACAAUUGAGACAAAUCUUUUAACACACUAAACCAGUUUAUAGUACUUGCCUAUAUUGGUGUACAUCAUCGGUGCCCCGCUCCCCACCAUGGAUGCCCUCCACCGAAAACGGUGUCUGAGACGGGCUGGGAAGAUCAUCAAAGACCCCUCACACCCCAACCAUGGACUUUGCCCUCCUCCCAUCAGGGAGGCGGUACAGGAGCCUCAGGUCACGUACUAGUAGGAUGAGGAACAGCUUCUACAACAAUACAAUCACAUUGCUGAACUCGGAGUCCCGCCGAUAGAUUUCUCCGGUCCCUCCGUCCCCAUUGUUUAAUUAUUCUGUAUUUUUUGAUUAUUCUGUAUCUUCUCUCUUUCUAUUUUUUUUAAAUUUCUUUAUGCACAACUACUACGGACUGACGCAAAACUGUAUUUUGUUGUACUCAUACUUGUAUUUGUGCGAUGACAUUAAAGUUGAAUUGAAUUG
Molecule: long non-coding RNA, 826 nt
Organism: Leucoraja erinaceus (little skate)
Lineage: Eukaryota; Metazoa; Chordata; Chondrichthyes; Rajiformes; Rajidae
Exons: 2
Source: RefSeq, a predicted model, not a curated record